Carassius auratus (goldfish) is the source of this 698-nucleotide long non-coding RNA. RefSeq lists it as uncharacterized. The transcript is spliced from 3 exons. The record is from RefSeq and is a predicted model, not a curated record. NCBI's taxonomy places the organism in Eukaryota, Metazoa, Chordata, Actinopteri, Cypriniformes, Cyprinidae.
UCUUGAUCGUGCUCGAGUCACAUGAGCGCUGUUCACGUGAUGUUUGUGGAAACAGUUCCACAUUGAUCAGAUUCACCAGACGCUUAUAAAGAACACUCAGAACCUGAACGCGUUUUUGAGUCAGGAGGAAGAGAAAGAGGAAGAGGAAGAGGAGGAGGAGACAGAUGGUCGAGUGUCUACAGAUGGGUUUCUCUCUCAUUAUCUGCCGGAGCUGACGUAGCUAUGUCUGACACUACAUCCCAUAAUGCAAUGUGCUCGACUCCACCUUCCAUUUCCUGUGUGACAGGAAGUCUGUGAUUUUUGACACUAAUGUUUGUGGGCACAUUGGGUUUUGUCUUCUCCAGAUGUUCACUGAUGGACUGGAGUGCUGUGUAUUAUUGUGUUUUUAUCAGCUGUUUGGACUCUUGUUCUGACGGCACCCAUUCCCUGCAGUGAUUGAGUGGAUGUUGGCGUUUGUGUAGAAGCAAGCGCUGAAGCUGCAGCAGCACAAGCAGAAGGAUGGUCAGAGACAAGGCUCCGCCCACCGAACAGAGACUCCGCCCCUGACGUCUGUAAAACAGUCAGACACACUCUGAUGUUCGUCACAUUCAGGCAUGCACUGCGACUCUUGGUGGAAAUGUGCCAAACUCUUCAUUUUCAUCAUCAUCACAUGCAUUUCUGUCCAGAUAAAUAAGAAUAAUAAAGGAAUAAAACUCUAA